AACGAACGCUGGCGGCAGGCUUAACACAUGCAAGUCGAACGCCCGUAGCAAUACGGGAGUGGCGGACGGGUGAGUAACGCGUGGAUAACGUGCCCUAGGGUUGAGGAUAACCCACCGAAAGGUGAGCUAAUACUGAAUGUGUUUCUUCGAGGUGCGCCUUGAAGAAAGAAAGCGGGGUAACCCGCGCCCAAGGAUCGGUCCGCGUACCAUCAGUUUGUUGGUGGGGUAAUGGCCUACCAAGACUACGACGGUUAGCUGGUCUGAGAGGAUGAUCAGCCACACUGGGACUGAGACACGGCCCAGACUCCUACGGGAGGCAGCAGUGGGGAAUAUUGGACAAUGGGCGAAAGCCUGAUCCAGCCAUGCCGCGUGAGUGAUGAAGGCCUUAGGGUUGUAAAGCUCUUUCAGUAGGGAAGAUAAUGACGGUACCUACAGAAGAAGCCCCGGCUAACUUCGUG
This 458-nucleotide ribosomal RNA is filed under the name uncultured bacterium. Its description in RNAcentral is "bacterial SSU rRNA". It matches the Rfam family "Bacterial small subunit ribosomal RNA", at positions 29 to 507 of the family's 1533-position model. The record is from RNAcentral.